This 450-nucleotide ribosomal RNA is filed under the name uncultured bacterium. Its description in RNAcentral is "partial 16S ribosomal RNA". It matches the Rfam family "Bacterial small subunit ribosomal RNA", at positions 354 to 796 of the family's 1533-position model. The record is from RNAcentral.
GUGGGGAAUCUUCCACAAUGGACGAAAGUCUGAUGGAGCAACGCCGCGUGAGUGAAGAAGGGUUUCGGCUCGUAAAGCUCUGUUGUCGGGGACGAAUGUGCAGUAUUUGAAUAAAGUACUGUAAUGACGGUACCUGACGAGGAAGCCACGGCUAACUACGUGCCAGCAGCCGCGGUAAUACGUAGGUGGCAAGCGUUGUCCGGAAUUAUUGGGCGUAAAGGGAGCGCAGGCGGGAAGGUAAGUCGGUCUUAAAAGUGCGGGACUCAACCCCGUGAUGGGAUCGAAACUAUCUUUCUUGAGUGCAGGAGAGGAAAGUGGAAUUCCUAGUGUAGCGGUGAAAUGCGUAGAUAUUAGGAGGAACACCAGUGGCGAAGGCGACUUUCUGGACUGUAACUGACGCUGAGGCUCGAAAGCCAGGGGAGCGAACGGGAUUAGAAACCCCGGUAGUCC